Long non-coding RNA from Gavialis gangeticus (Gharial), 111 nucleotides. RefSeq lists it as uncharacterized. The transcript has 3 exons. The record is from RefSeq and is a predicted model, not a curated record. Lineage: Eukaryota; Metazoa; Chordata; Crocodylia; Gavialidae.
CUGGGAUCCUAUGACCCCAGCUGACUUCCUGCCCCUGGGGCAGGGGGCUGGACUUGAUGAUCUUCUGAGGUACCUUUCAGCCCCCUAAUGUCUAUAAAAUCUGCCAAGCUG